RNAcentral lists this long non-coding RNA (3375 nucleotides) under Sus scrofa (pig). Its description in RNAcentral is "lncRNA (ENSSSCG00050023959.1)". Lineage: Eukaryota; Metazoa; Chordata; Mammalia; Artiodactyla; Suidae. The record is from RNAcentral.
AGAGUAGCAGACCCACGUCUUUUACCCCCACCCCACGCCCUGCAAGCCAGGCGUUUCCUGCGGGACGACCCAGGAUCGAGUUCCCCUUCUGUGCAAACUAGCCUUUGGGUUGGGAAGCUUCCGGUUCUGCAUCUGUGCGUGUUCCUUUUGAGCCACCGCCCAUGUUGCCAGGAAAGCAAAGUUUCUGCCAGGGCCGGUGGGGGGGCUUGGGCACAUCCCCCACCUUCCAAGGUUGAACCUGCCCAUCUCUAUGGCUGCAAUAGUACCUUUGGCCAGAAUUCCUCCAGGUCUGCAAAAAUGUCUUCUCUGGACCCAUCACACCUGCACUGCACUCUGGACCCAGCGUUGAGGUGUUUUGAUGAUGACAAUAUACACAUAGCACUUGGCAGAACACCUGGCACGUGGUCAGCGUCGAGUGGACGAUAGCAGUUCCCCUGGGAGACAGGGUGCCCUGUGCCUUGGCGGCCACAUCUGGCUCUUGGGUCUAGGCCAAGGGACUGACUGGGGCGUGGGGUGCCCCUGGGCUCUUAGGAUUGCAGCCCAAGCAUGCUGGUGGUCCAGGUCUCGGGUCAAACAGGUGGGAUGGAUGCAGCGCCCACCUUGCCGGCCACGCCCCAGGGGACUGCACUAGGCUCGGGGCCGGCGGACCAUCUGACACUCACGAGGCCGCCUUGAUUUUUUAGAUUUCCAGUGCAUGCUAAAAAGAGACUACUACUAAAGAUGCUGUCUUCUGUUUUUCUUUCCCAACAUGUUUCUUCCUCCCCUCCCCCACUAUGCUUGAAAGACGAACUGUCUGUCAUAUUUUCUCAAAGUUUUCUCCCUACUAACCUUGGAAAGAACGUGAAAGGCUCCCCCAGCAGCGCGGACGCCUCCAGGACGCACUGACGCAGCCCCGCCGCUGUGCCUUCCACUCCUGCAGCUUUGCUCGAGCCCUUGCGCCUGCCCGAGGCCAGCGAUCCCGAAGACUUCGAUCCCGAAGACUUCUCCCCGAGCGGCGCGGGGCUGCGGGCGGCGCGGAGGAGGCGCUGCUGCGCCCGCACCCGCUGGGCAGCGUCGGGCACCGCCCGCCCCCCGCUGUGCUCCCCGCGCUUCCGGCUGUGUCCCCGCCCCUCGGACGGAUGAUGCGCGGCGGAGGCGGCUUGUGGGCGCUUCGGUGCUGGGUGCUGGCUUGUUCAUCUCGUUUCUGUUCGUUCCCCGCUGGGGAGGUGGAAGUGGCCCCCGAGUCCUAACCUUGCAGGGGGCCUAGAUCCCAGCUGCAGAAGGUUGAGGGACGAUGAAAGCUUUCAAGAGGCUUUUGGUGCAUCUCAGCCUGGAGGUUGCCCGGGUUCCGGAAGAAGCUGGUCCCCGAGUUGGAGAGAGGAGCUGGGAGCUGGACCUGCGGUCAGUCAAGCAGCCGGUGUCACCCACCUUUCCAGGUCCGUGUCCUGACGCGGAAGAUGUGGGACAUUCUGGCUGUGGAGGCGGGAGGAAAUGCUUUGCGGAAAUGGCACAGGCCCUCCCUCCCAGGGGAGGCCCCCGCCUGGAUCUCAGUCUCCUGGCACACGGCUCCGCCCCGCACUUUCUUAGGGCAGAGCCCGCCGCCGCAGAGUCACACCUGCUUCCGGAACUUAGAUGUUUGGGUCUGUGCCCUUGGGGCUGGUGCCCUGGAAGGAUGUGGGAGUCGUUGGGGACCUCAGAGAGACCCCCUCCUACAAUGCCCAGAGAGCACGUGUUAGAGUCAUUGCAAGGCUGACCCGGCCGGUGGCGUGGGGGCUCGAGGCUCUGGUCUCCUGCUUCAGGGCGUCCCUGCAUCACCUCCCAGUGACAGUGGCUGGAGCCAGGCCUUGCUGACGGCCACUUCCUCCAAGAGGCUGUCCUCUGGUCUCUCCAUCUGCGACGGGCACCUGCUGUAUGUCCUGCGUGGGGCUGGGCUCCUUGGAGGACUCUAGAGAAGAGAAUGUGCUUGCUUGCCUUUGUGGCCCCUGUGGCGUUUGGGGAAGAGGGGUUCAAGCAGAGCUUGUGGACUUGUGGUUCUAAACACCUGUAGUUUCUUCCUGCUGGUUUUCCCCUGUUGGCCCAGGAGAAACGAUUUGGACUCAGCAGCAGACGUUGUCCAAGUGACCCUUUUUCAGGAUCUCUAAAAGCCGGUGCCAAAGGUCACCUCUUCUUCCUGCCUUCUCCUUUGGGGCCCCACGUCCCUCCGCCUCUUAGCUUGUGAACAGUCCUUGGGGGUGGGGGGGGGGACGUUUAGACAGCUGGAGCUGGGGGCGGAGAGGAGCCGUUUUUGUUUUUGUUUUGUUUGAAAGGAGCUUUUAGGAAACGCACGUGUCUGUGUUUGGGAUUCAGGGGGAAACGCGGGUGCGAGGCAUACGUCCUGUAACCAGGCUUCUGGGUUUCCCACCAACCCGCUCAAAUCCCUGCUUCUCUUCAUCCCUUCAUUGGCCACCUGUCCAGGUGACACCUGUCUGUCCAUCCCUGGGCAAGACUCGGGUCACUCUCCCCCUUUCCCGCUGUCUGGUUAGGCACUGCGUGUUCGUGUGUGUGUGUGUGUGUGUGUCUAUGUGUGUGUUGGAUGUAUUUUCAGACGGAGGGGCCCGCAGCUCUUGAGGAGAGCUCUUGUCAUAUUCUCGUCAUUUGUCCCACUUUCUGGCUCCUCCUCUGGCCAUUGGCACCGACUCUGAACUUUGGCUCUUGAGGCUGAUCCAAGUGGGGGCCGAAUGAAGGUGGGUUCGCCCUCGCCUCUGACGGCCCGCAUCCGUGCCCACACGGAGGAGGCCUGGUCUGACCCUGGUUUGGUUGGCAGGGACCUCGAUGGGGAGGGGAGACGCGGAGAGAGCAGAAGGCUGCAGACUGGAGCCAGGACGGGGCUUGGGAGGAGGGCGGUGUAGACCGGCGGGGGGUGUCUGAGCCGCGGUCGGUCGUGGGGCCUCUGCUGUGCUGGCCAUUGACUCUCACUCCCCUGACCCUCGUCAAAUGCUGGGACCGAUGUUGUUACCUUUGCCUGUUUGUUUUGGGCGGGCUCACCGCCUUCCUUCCUCUGUCCUGAGACUGCGCGCCAAGACCUUCCUUUCGGGGGAAAAGAAAGACUGAACCACGCCAAGGACGUUUUCAUUUCUAAUACUUGAAGUUUAUUUUUUUAUUAUUUUGAUAGCAGAUAUGCUAUUUAUUUAUUUAAUAUGUAUAAGGGAUCCUGAAAACGGAAAGCUGUAUAGAUGGGGUUUCGUUGUGGGUUGGCUUGGGGGCCUUUUACAUGUGACUUCCGACUCUGUGUGUUCUGUAUAAAUUUGUCUGAAUUAAUUACCUGGGAUGAAGCUGUGCCAGCUUUCAAACAGGGGAUGCCUAUUGGAAAUUUGUAUAUUUUGCAGUUGCCAGAACAAUAAAAUUCCUGGUUGAAAU